AAUGUAUCCUGAGGUGGGGGACAACCCUGGGAAACUGGGGCUAAUACCGCAUAUGAGCUGAGGCUCAAAGCCGCGAGGCGCCUUGGGAGCAGCCUGCGUCCGAUUAGGUAGUUGGUGGGGUAAAGGCCUACCAAGCCUGCGAUCGGUAGCUGGUCUGAGAGGACGAUCAGCCACACUGGGACUGAGACACGGCCCAGACUCCUACGGGAGGCAGCAGUGGGGAAUAUUGGACAAUGGGCGAAAGCCUGAUCCAGCAAUGCCGCGUGGGUGAAGAAGGUCUUCGGAUUGUAAAGCCCUUUCGACAGGGACGAUGAUGACGGUACCUGUAGAAGAAGCCCCGGCUAACUUCGUGCCAGCAGCCGCGGUAAUACGAAGGGGGCUAGCGUUGCUCGGAAUUACUGGGCGUAAAGGGCGCGUAGGCGGCACUGUUAGU
This 433-nucleotide ribosomal RNA is filed under the name uncultured bacterium. RNAcentral's name for it is "bacterial SSU rRNA". It matches the Rfam family "Bacterial small subunit ribosomal RNA", at positions 123 to 588 of the family's 1533-position model. The record is from RNAcentral.